RNAcentral lists this ribosomal RNA (917 nucleotides) under uncultured delta proteobacterium. Its description in RNAcentral is "bacterial SSU rRNA". It matches the Rfam family "Bacterial small subunit ribosomal RNA", at positions 8 to 883 of the family's 1533-position model. Lineage: Bacteria; Deltaproteobacteria. The record is from RNAcentral.
AGAGUUUGAUCCUGGCUCAGAUUGAACGCUGGCGACGUGCUUAACACAUGCAAGUCGAACGAGAACGGGUUUCUUCGGAAACCUUAUUAAAGUGGCGCACGGGUGAGUAACGCGUAGAUAAUCUACCUUUAAGACUGGGAUAACGGACCGAAAGGCCCCCUAAUACCGGAUACGCUCUUUUUAGCAUAAGUUAAGAAGAAGAAAGAUGGCCUCUCCUUGGAAGCUAUUGCUUAUUGAUGAGUCUGCGUACCAUUAGCUAGUUGGUGGGGUAAGAGCCUACCAAGGCUACGAUGGUUAGCGGGUCUGAGAGGAUGAUCCGCCACACUGGGAACUGAAACACGGACCAGACUCCUACGGGGAGGCAGCAGUGAGGAAUUUUGCGCAAUGGGGGAAACCCUGACGCAGCGACGUCGCGUGGACGAUGAAGGCCUUAGGGUUGUAAAGUCCUGUCAGAAGGGAAGAAAUGCAUAUGGGCUAAUACCUUAUAUGUUUGACGGUACCUUCAAAGGAAGCACCGGCUAACUCCGUGCCAGCAGCCGCGGUAAUACGGAGGGUGCAAGCGUUAAUCGGAAUUACUGGGCGUAAAGGGCGCGUAGGCGCCUAUCAAGUCAGGUGUGAAAUCCCAAGGUCAACCUUGGAGGUGCAUCUGAAACUGGUGGGCUUGAGUAUGGGGAGAGAAAAGUGGGAAUUCCUGGGUGUAGAGGUGAAAUUCGUAGAUAUCGGGGAGGGAACACCAGUGGCAAGGCGACUUUCUGGGACCAAUACUUGACUCUAAGCCCCGAAAGCCGUGGGGGAGCAAACAAGGAUUAGAUACCCUGGGUAGUCCACAGCUGUAAACGAUGUCAACUAGGUGUUGGGGGGUGUUGACCCCUCCAGCGCCCCAGCUAACGCAUUAAGUUGACCCCCUGGGGGAGUAC